Molecule: long non-coding RNA, 38431 nt
Filed under: Citrus maxima (pomelo)
Lineage: Eukaryota; Viridiplantae; Streptophyta; Magnoliopsida; Sapindales; Rutaceae
Description: long non-coding RNA (CMAX_LNC003497)
Source: RNAcentral
AGGCUUCUUUGGAGUCAUUAUAUCAGCCGUGCUCUCAUUUUCGAGCAUCGAAGAAACUUCCAGCAUAGAAGGUCUAUCGUCUGGGUUCUCCUGAACACACAACAGAGCUAUUUGCAGACAUGUUAGCAAUUUCCACGAGGAAUGCGUAUCAUCUAGUGAUGUAUCCAUUAACCCCAUGCCUUUCCCAUCUUUCCACAGCUCAUAAGCCUGUAAAUAUCGAAUAUGUUAUUGAGUUACAUUCAAUUAAUUAGCACUAUAAAGUUUUGAUCCAGUGUGCAUUAUAAAGGGGGUUAUGAAGAAACUUACAUACUGUACAAGGCUUAAAUUUUCAUUCUGGCCAGAUUGAACGAACAAUCUUCUUCCACUUAUAAUUUGCAAAAGUAAAACCCCAAAACUGUAGACAUCAGAUUUGGUGGAGUAGAUGCCUCUCGUCACAUACUCAGGAGGGAUAUAGCCACUGUUGUACCAAGUACUUACAAAUAUCAGUUAAAUUGUUUGACCUAAAAGGUUAAGCUGAUUGGUAAAGGCUCAACAAUAGUAUUAAAGACAAGUCGAAAAAUAGACGUAUAUACACUUACUGUGUUCCAACAAUUCGACUGGUGUUUGCUUCAAGGUCGUCUUUCACAAAAAUUCUAGCUAAGCCAAAAUCUGAUAUUUUAGGCUUCAUAUCUUCAUCCAAUAAAACGUUACUAGCUUUCAAAUCUUGAUGAAUAAUUGUUAAUCUAGAAUAUUCUUGAAGAUAGAGAAGCCCUUGAGUUAUUCCUUAAAUGAUAUGAAUGCGUUUUUUCCAAUCCAAAAUAAACCUUCGGAUGGAAUCUACAUCAAAUAUAAGUAUAGUUGGACGGUCGGUAGCAUUAGCAUUUGGAGAUGAGAAAGCAAAUGGAGGCACAUAAAUUAAAAAUUAAGCAGUUAAGCUCAUACCAAAAAGGAAAUAGUCCGAGCUUCGUUUUGGCAUGUACUCAUAGAUCAGCAUUUGUUCUUCUCUGUCAAUGCAAAAACCUAAAACCCUAAUAAGAUUUACAUGUUGGAGUUUUGCAGUAAGCAUAACCUCAUUCUUGAACUCCUCAAAUCCUUGUUUGGAUGUCUUUGAGAGUUUCUUCACAGCUAUUACCUGUCCAUCAGGUAAUACACCCUGCAAACAACCCCAAAACAUUAAAAAGAAAAAAAAACGCAAUGUUCAUAUACAUGUGUGUGUGUGUAUUUCGCUAAUUAAUUAAUAAGAUGAGAGAUAGCCAAGCUAUCGAUAUAUAACCUUGUAAACAGGGCCAUAUCCACCCUCCCCGAGCUUAUUUUCAAUUGAAAAUCUAUCCGUGGCCACCUCAAUAUCAGCCAAGCUAUAUUCUCUAAGAUCAGGAUCAUUGCUGUUAAAAUCUCCAGCAUGUGCUUGACUGUUUGCUCCGUCCUUUGAUGACUUGGCUGAGUCAAUUACUAUCCCAAUUAAUAUCAACCAAGGAAAAAAAAAAAAAAAAGCUAAUUUAAGUAAAUUGCCCACUUCUUCAACUGCGCUAAAUAGAAUAGAAGUAAAAAUAAUCCUAAACCAGUGUAGAAGAAGUUACCUUUUAAUUUGGGGUUUUUCAUCCAGCAGUAGUAAUAUAGACAAAAACCUAGUAGAAGAAUACAAGCUGCAGUUGUAGGCAAAACAAUUACCCAUAAUGGUCGCUUAUUUUGACCAUUCUUGUCAUCCUCUUCAGCUGAAAAGUCAAAUCACUUUGCGUUGGUUAGCCAUUGAUGCUGAAAUAAAGAUCUUAAUUCAAGUCAUUAUCCAGAAAAGUGAUCAACGGAUUGCAGUGAGUGCGGAAUUCCAUUUGCUUACCUGCAGCUUGAGAAAGCAUCCAAUCAUGAUCAUAGGAAACUAGCCACACAUGGUAACCGCGUAGCUUCUUCUCCUUGGCAUAAGCAACCUUCACUCUAAUGGCCUCCACAUCAUCAAAACCAAACCAAAUCUUCCCAAUCGAGCAGUAGUUCACCACAUAAGUUGAAUUGUACAUAACUUGGACAUUAGGACCAUAGCUCUUGAUGCGAUUCUUGAUUUCCUUGUAAGUCACAAGACCAUUUUCACUCAAAGCUGCUCCCGUUGCUGCUGCACCAAUACCAUUGUCCUCAGGUUUCACAAGCUUCCAUGCAUAGCCAUAGAAAGGCAAACAUAAAACCAAUUUAUCAGCCGAUAACCCUUCCUCAAUCCAUUCCGUGAUUCCGUAUUCAGUACUAUAGUCACUAUUUGGAUCAUACAGAGCCGCAUGAGCACCAGUAAAAUUUGUCCACGUAGGGGCUGAGUAAUCAGUAGUGAAAACAUGGACCCAAUUCAAGUACUGUCUUAUAAAGUCGACUGGAUAAGUUGCUUCUGUUAAGAAUGGUGAAUAUGAAACCGUUGCCGUCAAAAUCAACUGUGAUUGGCUCGAGUUAUUUCUUGCUUCUAAAUCUACGGCAGCUCGCCACUCUUUAAAGAGAAUGGCAAUAUUGUAAUUAUCCCAGCUUGUGUUUGCCUUAGACCAAGACAGAUCUAAGCCUUGAAAGCCAUAAAGCCUUGCUAUGUUUAUUGAGGAGUCAAUGAAGGAUUUCCUGGAAGAAGGAUUGCUUGCCAUGGAAGAAUAAGUUGAAUAGCUUACAUCAUUUCCUCCUCCGAUGGAGAGAAGUGUAGUGAUUGAUGGGUUCUUUAUUUUGACUGUGUGCGUGAAGUUGGAGAAUUGUUUUUCAUCCGAAGGUGAUAAAGAGAGCUCGUAGGAAGUUGAGUUGACAUCAGCAAAACCACACAUAAGGUGAGUGAAGAGAGCAGAAUUUACAUCUGAAACAGGGAACCCAUCGCCUGAAUCCCAGUAACCAGCUCUGAUUAAAGUUUGUGCUCUUGCAGGAAGCGAUUCUGAAAAUAUAAAAAUGUGGAGGACAAGAAUGAUAAUUUUGGAUGCCAUUGUGGGAACCUGGCUGCUUGAGGCAUACCUAGUAUGUGAUUAUAUAUUUGUACACACACAAAAUGUAAUGGAGAAAUUAUCCUAUACCGAUUGAGAUUAGUUAUUGCACUAAUAAUGCAAACUUGAGUCAACUUUCAACUUAUGAGCUUAGUCCAUAAGUUUUUAUAAUACGAUAUCAAAAUCAAGUUAUGAAUGAGGGACCCUAUAAUACCUUCCAACCUAACUUAAUAAUUAAUCUUAGCCAAUGUGACAUACUUGUUCUAUCGCUUUAUCACGACCAAGUCGAUCUUUUAGCUUUGUCUUUUUUUCAUGAUAAUAAGUGAUAAGAUUGAAGUUCUUAAAUUAAGCUAUGACUUUUUACCUCCGCUUAGCUUGACUUCUGAAGUUGGAGACUCGUUCUUUUGUAUUGACUUUGUUGGUAUUUAAAUGAACUCGGAGUCCUCGACGAGUUUCUGAAGCGAAGUCAUUAUUCCUCUAUGACUCCAUCCAUGCAAUUGGAAGGCAAAAUCUUGUGAAAAUAUUUUCUAAGUUGAUUCAGUCCAUGAUCAACGUGCACAAAACGCAAAAUCUUGCGAAAAUCAAACCCGUCCUCACUCAUGAGCUCGAUUUCUAGCUUAAACUCCUCCUCACUCAUGACCUCACUUUAAUUACAGCUUGUCAUUGAAUUGAGUGUUGCCUUAAUUAAGCCAUCAACUUAAUAAAGUGAUGGUCAUUAAGAAAUACACUUAGUUACUUCCUGAUGGUAAGAUUCAAUAAUAUUGUAAUUUAAAAAAAAGAAGAAAAGAUCCAUAUACCUUUUCCUUGUGUAAUUUAAUUUUCAGUCCAGUCCACCCUCCCAUUUUAUCAUAAAAGUCUAUACAAACAUACGUUUUACUCAAUGUUUACUUAGAAACAAAUGGUGGGCGUACGAGUGCCGAUCUAGUACCACUCUCGUAUACUUGGUGGGAUUCGGCUUCACCAAAUUUGUAGCAUAUAUUUUACUUUAAUGAGAAAAUCAAAUAAUUAUUGAACAAAUAAUUUUUUUUUCAAUAUACUUUCUUAAAAUGUAUGGAGUUGGUAAAGUGCAAAUUCAUUUUUUAGCCCUUUGACUCCUCCAAAAUCCAAACUCAAAUUAAUGGUCAGUUAAAUAAUGUUACUUGAAAAUCAUUUCCUAUCUAGAAUUUGUUUAAUUCUAUUAAUUUACAAUCGUUUUUCAUUUUACUUAAUUAAUUAAAGUGAAUUUAUUAUGUAUACAUCUACAUACGUAAAAUCUUAAAAUUCAGUGUUGAAUUGAAUUGUACUAAAUUUUUUAUAAUUUUUUGUGAGACCUGCGUUUUUAACAGUUUAAUAUUAAUAUUGAUAGCACAUAAUAUACCGGAUUAAGAGAGAUUGAUUUCGACUGCUACAAGAUUUUUAGGAUUGCAUGCACAAGGGUUUAAAAACAAAGUAUACACUUAAUUACACUAAACGAGGGUGCAUUUUUAUGAUGAAAUAAAAACUAUGUACAGGUUGUAAAAGUGGCUCCAUAAUUAGUGUACAUUAACAAUCAUCUAGCUACCACUUCCGAAAAUGAUAAAUCACAAGCCGAACAUUUUUCCAAUUGUGUUGUAGAUAAUAGUUCAAUCCCAAUUUCAUCAACUUGUUUUGAGAAAGCAGGCUUCUUGGGAGUAUUUAUAUUUGUGGUUUCAUUCUUGAGCAUUGAGGAAACUUCCAGCAUUGAAGGUCUAUCGUUUGGAUUCUCCUGGACACACAACAAAGCUAUUUCCAGACAUCUCAUUAAUUUACAAGGGGAAUUUGUAUUGUCUAGGAAUGAAUCCACAAACUCCACGCCUUUGCCACCUUUCCACAACUGAUAUGCCUGAAAUUAUCAAGUACCAUCUCGUUACAUAAUUUAUACUUCUUAAUUAAGUGCGCAUAUGUGUACUCAGGGUUACUAUAGCCGAAGAAACUUACGUGCUCUAGAAUGCUUAAAUUUUCAUUGAUGCCACAUAACACUGAAAGCCUCUUUCCACUUAUGAUUUGUAGAAGUAAAACUCCGAAACUAAAAACGUCUGAUUUGGUAGAGUAUACACCUUGUCUGGCGUACUCAGGAGGAAUAUAGCCUCUGCAUUCAAAAUAACCAAGUAUAUAUGAGUAAGGGAUUUUGCAAUUUAAUAAAUUUGUAAAACCCAUUUUAAAUUGUGGUAAAAGUCCAUUCUGCAUUUUAUUAAAGUGCUGAAUUCCUUAUUCGAAACCCAAUAUAUGUAUAACAAACAGAAGCUUGAGUAAAGGAUAUCAUUUAGAUGUAAUAUACUUACAUUGUUCCCACAAUUUGUUCUGUAUUCGCUUCGAGACUCUCUUUUGCAAAAAUCCUAGCCAUACCAAAAUCUGAAAUUUUAGGUUUCAUACCUUCACCUAACAAAACAUUACUGGCUUUCAAGUCUCGAUGAAUAAUAGUCAGUCUUGAGUAUUCUUAGAGGUAUAAAAGCCCUUGAGUUAUCCCUUCAAUGAUAUGAACACGUUUUUUCCAAUCCAAAAGAAGUCUUUUGAUGGGAUCUACAACAAAUAUAUAGUUUUGGACAAUAAGUGAUAUACAAAUGAAUUAUAUACACAUUUGAUAUUAACUUGAUUUCAGAACAAACCAAAAAGGUAGCAAUCCAAGCUUUUGUUUGGCAUGUAUUCGUAGACCAGCAUCCGUUCCUCACUCUCAAUGCAAAAACCUAAAACUCUAAUAAGAUUUACAUGUUGGAGUUUUGCAGUAAGCAUAACCUCAUUCUUAAACUCCUCAAAUCCCUGUGCGGAUGAUUUCGAAAGUUUCUUCACUGCUAUCACCUCUCCACAGGGUGAUACACCCUGCAACCCAAAAAAAAAAACCACGUUCAUAUAAAGCUUUCACUAGUUAGAGAAGCUGAGAAAUGUUAGCCAAACAAUAUGCUACCCCCCAAAGUUGAGGGCACCAUUUUAAGUUCUUUAAGUCCCCAUGGACGCAAAAUGUAAAUCUCCUCUCACAGAAUAUGGAUAUGGGUAGAGGUAUCUUCCUAAAAUGUUAGUCGAAGUAGUUAUAUCCCUCUAGUGUGAGGUUAGAGGUCUCAUCUCUAAUAGGCAUAGAUUUUUAAAUUAUAUGUUUUGGGCCUCUGAAUUCUACGACGAGUGUACAAAUUCAAACUUCCGAUAGGAUCCAAAUUGAAACAUUGUGGAUUGUAACAAAUUAAAAUAUAGGUACACACACACACACACACACACAUGUUACCUUGUAAACAGGACCAUAUCCACCCUCCCCAAGCUUAUUUCUAAUUGAAAAUCCCUCGGUGGCCGCCUCAAUAUCAGCCAAACUAUAUACUCUGAGAUUAGGAACAUUUCUGUUAAAGUCUCCAGCUUCUGUUUCAUUAUUUGCUGUCGUGUUUGAUGCUUUAGCAGAAUCCUCUGUUCCUAACAUCAACCAAGAGUACAUAUUAGAUAAAUAAUUGUAUGUCAGCCUCAGAUUUAUGUGUAUAUAUAUGAAUGAAAUUCAUGCUUAAUUAUAAUUGAUAGCUGAAACUUGUUACCUUCUAUUAAAUUGAGCCUUUUCAUCUGGUUGUAUUUAUAUGCACAACAGCCUAGAAGGAGAGUCAAAGCUGCCGCUGCAGUAGAAAUGAGUGCAAUGGACAGAUGGCGGUUAUUACUAUGUUCAUCUUUGUCAGCUGAAGCAGAAGUAAUCCUUUCUUUUUGUGCUGGAAAUAUGUAUAGUUCACCAAUUAAUAAUUACUAGCUAGAGAUGCCAUAACAAUCAUUAUUAAUCAGAGAGAACAAUUAUUGCAUAGAUAAAUACCUGCAGCCUGAGAAAGCACCCAAUUAUGAUCAUCAUAAUCAACUCGCCACACAAAGUAACCACGUAACUUCUUCUCCUUAGCAUAUGCAACCUUCAUUCUAACGGCCUCGACAUCAUCAAAACCAAACCAAAUCUUCUCAAUCGAGCAGUAAUUGACCUCAUAAGUUGAAUUGUACAUAACUUGGACAUCAGGGCCAUAGGUCUUGAUGUGAUUCUUGAUUUCCUUAUAAGUCACAAGGCCGCUAUCAUGCAAAGCUGGUCCUGCUGCUGCUGCAACAAUACCAUUGUCUUCAGGUUUCACAAGCGUCCAUGCAUAGCCAUAGAAAGGCAAACACAUAACCAACUUAUCUGCCGAUAAUCCUCUGUCAAUCCAUGCCUUUAAAACCUGAUCGGUACUUCUAACAAAGCCGCCGCUACUUGAGCCAUAGAGAGCCGCAGGUGGCGCCGUGAAGUUUGUUGACACAGGCUCGUAGUAGCUAGCAGUAACCGCAUGAACCCAAUUCAAGUUUCGUUCUAUCGAAUUCAAAAGAUAUGAAUUCGCUGGUGGUGAAUAAUGAAAUCUUGCGGUCAAGAUCAGCUGGGAUUGCUGGCGACUAGAGUUUUUUGCCUCUAAUUUUGUAGCAGCAAUUCGCCACUCGUCAAAAAGUAAACCAAUAUUGAACAAAUCGGUGCUUGUGUUUGGAGCUGUCCAAGCAAAGUCUAGGCCCUGAAAGCCAUAAAGCCUAGCUAUUCUUAUUGAAGAGUCGAUGAAAGAUUUUCUGUGAGAAGAAUUGCUCACCAUUGAAGAAUAAAUAGAAUAGUUUGUAUCCAUUCCUUGUCCAAUGGAGAGAAGUAUAGUGAUUGAUGGGUUCUCUUUUUUCACAGUGUCUACGAAUUUGGCGAUUUGAUUUUCAUCGGAUGGUAAUGAUAAAGAUAGCUGGUAAGUGGUGGAAUUGAUAUCAGCGUAAGAGCAAAUAAGGUGAGUGAAGAGAUCAUAAUUUAUGCCCGAAAUGGUGGACACUUCGCUUGAAUCCAAGUAACCGACCCUGAUCCACGGUUUUGCUUUCGCGGGAUAAAAUUCUGAAUAGAAUAACAUGUGGAAGAUGAUGCUGAUAAUUAUGGAUGCCAUUUGAGACUUUGUUAGGAAUGGAAAUGGAUCCACACAAGAGAAAUUAAAUAAACACUAGUUUCACAGAUCAUUUAAGUACUUAUGUAAACUAUUAACUUAUAGGUUCAUUUCGUUCCAAAAAAAUCUUAUGUGCUUCUGAUAGGGAAACAUACAUUGCAUGUUAUGAUGAUGAUAGGCGAUGCGACCAUUGCCUGAGAACUAAGAUUUUCUUCCAUCGCUUGGGUGACCUUUCACGAAGAAAAAUGAUGUUUUGAUUUACAUUUGGUUAAACUGAUGACAAAUUUCGGGCCAUAAAUAUCACUAUUGUUUUAUUAAAUAAUAAAAAAAUUAAUUUUACAUGUACGUUGAAAGUUAAUAUUGCAAUCACCAACAAGUGCGUAGAUCAACUGACAAGGGGUUGUUCUAGCUUAACCAAGGUCCUUGGUUCGAGACUUGAGAAUGCAGCUACGUUAAAUACUUGUUGGGAGAGUUUUGUCAUCCUAAUGGCCUUACACGGCUCGAAUCUGAAUUAGAGUUUUGUCACCCUAAUGGUCCUACACGGCUCGAAUCUGAAUUAGUCGAGACCCACUGAUACCAAAUGGCUUCAUAUACCAAAGAAAAAGUUAAUAUUGCAGUCUUUUGAGACUGUGUUGACGUUUAUUCGGUUCGUUUAUUAUAUAUUCCCGUUUUUCUCCCUGUCUGUUUGCUACAGUGCUCUUACAAGGAUAGCAUCUUUAAUGCACCUCAGAAGUAGUUAAGAAAGUCUUGAUAAAAAACCAGACAUUUUCUAUCUACUCAAAACGUAGUUAUUGGACUAAUUAAGAUUCUAAUCCCUUUAAUAAAUAUUCAAAAAGGGUUACUGUCACUACUCAGUCCUUGUUGUUUUAUAAAAAAAAAAAAAAAAGAUAUUUAAAGAGGCAUCACAUAAAUCCUUCCUAAUUACAUUUUGUUUCAUUCAAGUUGUUGACUUAAUUUGACUGCCUGGAAAAAUUAGUAAAGAGGUAAAAAUAAAAAAAAAGGUAAAUUCUAGUUAUUAGACUAAAUAUAUAGUAUAAAUUUGCAGCAACUAGCAAAAAGUUUAGAAUAUGAAAAAUCCUAUUUCAUUUAAAAAACAAUGAAAAUUCUAAUCAUUUUAAAAAAAAAAAACUCUGAAAGUUUGAAAAACUAAGAUUUUAAGAUCCUUUUACAAUAACCAUAAUUAACACAAAUUUCCGAAUUAUUAUUACAUAAUAAAAUUUUACUAAUAGAAAUAAGAAAACAAAACAAAUAGCACUCAAAUCGGAUAUAUAAAAAAAAAUCUUGAAAUAAAUAGAAAAAAUAAGAAAAUAACUAAAACUUGCAAAACGACCAUGAAAGAAAUGAAAUUUCCGGCCGAACCAAGGGGCCAAUGUGCAUAGUAUUAUUGGACUAGAUUUAUCAGACCACAAGCUUCAAAACAAUAUAUUAUAUUUCCUAAAUGGACACAUGUAGGUUAAGUUACUCAAUUGUAUUAGGAGCUGUCCAAGCAAAAUCUAGGCCCUCAAAGCCAUAAAGCCUAGCUAUUCUUAUUGAAGAGUCGAUGAAAGAUUUUCUGUGAGAAGAAUUUCUCACCAUUGAAGAAUAUAUAGAACAGUUUGUAUAUCUUCCUUGUCCAAUUGAGAGAAGUGUAGUGAUUGAUGGGUUCUUUUGUUUCACAGCGUCUGUAAAUUUGGGGAAUAUUUGAUUUCCAUCAAAUGGUGAUGAUAAAGAUAGCUGGUAAGUGGUGGAAUUGAUAUCAGCGUAAGAGCAAAUAAGGUGAGUGAAGAGAUCAUAAUUUAUGCGCGAAAUGGCGGACACUUCGCUUGAAUCCAAGUAACCGACCCUGAUCCACGGUUUUGCUUUCGCGGGAUGAAAUUCUGAAUAGAACAACAUGUGGAAGAUGAUGCUGAUAAUUAUGGAUGCCAUUUGAGAGGCUUAAGCUUCUUAAUUACCACUUCGAUGGGAAUGGAAAUGAAUGCACACUGACACCAGACACAAUAGAUGAGAAAGUACAACGUCACACACUCAAGAAAUCACAAGCUCACCACCACAGCAAACAACAAAAGGAUACAGAAAAAUAUUCACCACCUAAAGUUGUUAAGCUACGGAUACAGAGCUUAAAACACUCACCACUCAAUGGAAUCCACCAAAGAGAUACAGAGUUUGAUAAUAGCUCAAAGUUCAUUCAAUUUCUAAAAUUAAUCUUCGUCCUUUUGUUACAACUACAUAAGCUUAAAUAAUUUUCUUGGAACAAUCCUCCAAGCAUAGAUUUACUACAAAGAAACCCUUCAAAUAACUUGACUUUAAAGACCAACAUUAAAGCUAGACAUUAAUAAAACAUUAGUAUGCUUAAAACACAACAAAGAACAUUAAAAAAAAUCUAAGUCCCGAAAUAUUCUUCUUGACUCAAAACUGAACAGUCUGCACUUAACUGAUCAUAACUUACUGUAGAAAACUCCAAAUUUAGAUUAGUAAAAUUCAUUGGAAAGCUAACAGAAAUAUCUUUCCAAUGAUGUAUGGCUCGAAAAUUAAUUCGAUCUCAUGCAGUACAGUUUAAUUCCAAAAGAUGCCCCUUCUGCACAGAAAUUCUGCUCACUUGAUUAAUGUAAGAACUUGAGCUGCACUUGGUAUAACUUGAUUACCAAAUAUUUCAAACACUCCUGUGUUACACACUAAGAGAAAUUAAAUAAACACAAGGUUCACAGUUCAUUGAGCUCUCAUGUUAACGUAUAGGUUCAUUUCGUUGCAAAAAAAAAAAAUCUUACGUGCUCCUGAUAGUGACACAUACACUGCAUGUUAAGAUGAUGAUGGGCGAUGCGACCAUUGCCUAAGAACUAAGAUUUUCUUCUACCGCCUGGGUGACUUUCCAUGAAGAAACAUGAUGUUUUGAUUGACAUUUGGUUAAACUGAUGACAUAUUUUGGGCUACAAAUAUUAGUAUUGUUUUAUUAAAUAAAAAUAAUAAUAAUUUUACGUGCAUGUUGAAGGUAAUAUUGCAGUCUUUUGAGCCUGUGUUGAAUUUCAUUCGUGUGCGUUCAUUUAUUAUCCAUCCCCUUUUUUCUCUGAGUCUGCUAGCCGUAGUCAUCUUAAAACGAUAACAUGUUUAAUGCAUGUAAAUGCACCUCAGAAGUAGUCAAGAAAGACUUGAUCAAACCAGAAAAUUUUCCUCUUAACACAGACGUAGUUAUCGGACUAAUUAAGAUUCUAAUCCAUUUAAGAAAUAUUCAAAAAGGGUUAUUGUCACUACUUUAGUCCUUGUUGUUUUAUUAAAGAAAGAAAAAAAAAAGAAUAUAUUUAAAGAAGCAUCACAUAAAUCCUUCCUAAUUACAUUUUGUUUCAUUCAAGUUCUUGACUUAAUUUGACUGCUUGGAAAAAUUAGUAAAAAGGUAAAAAUAAAAAAAAUGUAGAUUGAUAUUAAGGAAUUCAGCAAGCAAGCUACAAGAAUAUCCAAAAGCGUGUAAUUUAUGUUUAAGGAAAUAAGUGGAGAUAGAGAUGAAAUUGUAAAUUCAUCCCAAUCUUAAGUGGUUUAAUUCAAGAUGUAUGUUAGCUACAAGCACAGUAAGCAUGGUGAUGUCUCUCUUUAACGCAGGGGACACAACAAAAACACUGUAUUUCUACCCUUUUAAAAAAUUCCAAUAAUAUGUACACGUUAUAUAUAAGAUAUAAAAAUCAUUACUUUUAGUAUAAGAUAUAAAAAAAAAAUCAAUUAAUAACCAUUAGAGAAUAAAAAUUUAUGUAAUUGAUGCAGAUAAAUGGAAUCAAGUAGUAACAUUUCCUUCUCAUUGAAGAGAAAAGAUUUAAAAAAAAAAAGGGGAACGCAAACAUGACAAUUUUUUUUAUCCGCACACGCCAUGAUAAUCGAUAAUCCGAUAUACCAACCGCGUCUAAUUGUCUGAAUUCUCCAGCUUACCAAGCUUGCUCAAUCGCACCGACAGACACUGACAAUGGGAGAUUAAUCACCACUCGCAGUAUUCGACGCGUGAAGGACACAUUCACCAAUAAUUUAUAGCGGACAGUAGCAUUCCCGAUGCUGCACGGAGAAAAAUAGUUGGAUUUGCGUAAGUUAAAUUGACUUGACUCGAGAGAGUGAAGAAUGGUGGUGGUUGCUGUUAAGCAGUCAGUACUUCUGGCGACUGCUUGGCUUACACGCAGUUCUUGGGGGUGUCAUUUGACUGUGAAAAAGAAUUUUGGCUUUAUUGAUAUCAUGUUGGAUUUGGAAUUUUGGAUGGCUUCGUUUGGACCAUAAGACGCUAUCUCAUCCAUAACACGUUAGCAGUCCUUCUCACGGGAGAAAAACUGGGGUGGGAUUGAGCAAGAUUAUAUGAGUCCUCGAAGUGUCACUUACAAAUUUUUAAUUAUAAAUGACUGCCGAAUAAUUAAUCAAAAUUUUAUUAUUUAUGGUUAUAAUUAGAAUGAUAAGAAAUCAAUUCGAUGUUAUUCUUUGUGGCUCUGCUUAGAAUACUAAAAAAUCAAGUCGACUUACUUAUCUUUAUGUUGAUCAUUACAGGCCUUUUGAAUUUUUUAUCUACUUUAGUUGUAAGUAAUAUAACUUCACUUUUUUUUCUUUACUUUGGUUUGGUUUUCUUUAUAACUCAUAAAAAUUUUCUCGUUAAGAUUGUAUGAACCAAUUGAAACUUCAGAUUUGUAUGAACCAAUUGAAACUUCAGAUUCAUACUAGAAUUAUGAUGAUUCAAUAAAACCUUCAAAUUAAAUUCACAUAUUCCAUGAGGGAGAACCCUUGGAUUACAUUUGUUCAAGUUUAUGCUUUGAGUAAAAUAAAAGUAGAAAUAGGAAUUUGAAAGAAGAAAUUUAGUUAUAAAAAAUUAUCAAAUAAUUAAUUGUUUGGCAUUUAUUUUAUGGGUCCCAACCCAUGUGAUCCGCCAAAUGAGACGUCUUAUGUGAUUGGUUAUGCCAUGGUGCGCUAGCCACAUUUAAGUUUCUCUCUUCUUAUGGAUAUAACUGUAUAUGGGUGGCGUUAUAUAGUGCCCCACAUGGGCUCAUUAAAAUUAUUUUAUGUGCAUUUUAAACAUACCCUCUUUAUUGAUUUGAAACACCAAAAAUACCUCUCUUAAAUUUUAAAAAUAUAAAAAAAAAUUACGUGUUAAAACAAUGCUUGAUGUCUCUAGCCUAACAGUUAGCACACCUAUUGUAUACACUUUUACUUUUUUCUUCUCUAAUUUUUUACUCCUCUUUUCUCUAAUUCUUCACACUUCACUACUCUUUUAUCUCUAAAAAAAUUAAGCAAUCUCUAGAAGCUUAUUACUAAUUUUUUGAUCAAAUUACUUAUAUAAGUACUCUUGAUUGAUUAACACUUCUUUAAUUUUUUUUGGGGAUUUCUCUUAGAUGAAAGAAUUAAGGUUAUGUUCUAAAAAAAAUUUAACUCCCAUAUUAUGGUUUUGAUAAUGCGAUUAUCCUUAAAUUUUUCAACAUAUUAAAAUACUUUGAAACAACUGUAAAUGUGUUGAAUGAAAUAUUCUAAUAAAUUUAUAUUUUGGUACUUAUUAAUUAUUUAACUUUUUUCUUAAAAUUACAUUACUAUUUCAGCUUAGCCCUUGUGACAUUAAAUUCCUGAUAGCGCCACUAAAUGUAAGUUUUAAACUCAUGUUCGAUUUCUCCCAUGUUCAAACUCUACCUUUAAUUUAUAUUUCAAUUUUGUGGCCUACUUUUGAGUUUCUAAUUUCACAUAGAAGGCAUGUUAAACUUACCUUAGAUGCAAUAUUAAGAAAUCAAAUACACCAUGUGCAUUAGUGGGGGCGAAAAAAAAAAGAAAAGAAAAAGUCUUUUAUUGGUAAAAGAUGAAAGCUCUUCGGCACUGAUCAGAAGAAAAAUCAUUCUCCAUACAAUGAGCAAAACAAAGUCCAAUUCGCAUUGCAUAGAAGUAAGACCGAAGCAUUGGACUAAAAGCAUACACUAGUCUUAUUUUUCGUUACUGAUAACAUUUUUUUUCCCCUUAUAUUAUCACCUUAAUUAAGAAAAAUAAUAAUUUGUUUAACUAUUUGCGAAAAAGGAUGGCAAUAUACAAUAUUAUUGUGUUGAUGACCUUGAAAGCCAAUUCUUUUGAAACAGAAAAACUGUUUUUGUGUUUUGAUUAUGUUAAGCAAAUGAAUGGUCUUUAAGAGUUAUGAAAAUGUUAUCAAUAAAAUUACAAACUCUUAAGAGUUUAUAGAUGUAGUUAGUGAUAUUACAUUACAUUAAUUAAUACAAUACAAACUGUUUACUAAUAGAGCCUCAAGAGAGUAAUUCAUUAUUUAGUUGGCAAAUUAAACAACUGCAGCAGUCACUAGCAGCCUUCCAUGAGCUAGCAUAGAUCAAUUGUUCAUUUACCAACCAAUUGUGAAAUUGUUACAUCAUUACUUGAACAUAUUUCCAAUCCAAUCAUGGCUUUGUUUUGUUCAUCUUCAUAAGCUUUGUUUGAGAAACUUGCAGGCUUCUUUGGAGUCAUUAUAUCAGCUGUAUUCUCAUUUUCGAGCAUCGAAGAAAUUUCCAGUAUAGAAGACCUCUUGUUUGGGUUCUCCUGAACACAUAGCAAAGCUACUUGGAGACAUGUCAAUAAUUUCCACGAGGAAUUCGUAUCAUCUAGUGAUGGAUCCAUUAACUCCACGCCUUUCCCAUCCUUCCACAACUCGUAUGCCUGAAAACAUCAAAUAAGUUAUCGAGUUACAUUCCAUUGAUUAGCACUAUAAUGUUUUGAUUCAGUGUGUAUUAGAAAGGGGGUUAUGAAGAAACUUACAUACUCUACAAGGCUUAGAUUUUCAUUUUGACCAUAUCGAAUGAAAAGUCUUCUUCCACUUAUAAUUUGUAGAACCAAAACUCCAAAACUGUAGACAUCAGAUUUAGUGGAGUAGACUCCUCUUCCAAUAUAUUCAGGAGGAAUAUAGCCUCUAUAGUAUCGAGUAAUUACAAAUGUUACUAAAACUAUUUGACGUAAAAGAUUAAGUUGAUUGGUAAAGGUUCAACAAUAAUAUUAAAGACAAGUCAGAAAAAAAAUAGAAAAAUAUAUACUUACUGGGUUCCAACAAUUCGAUUUGUGUUUGCUUCAAGAUCAUCUUUCACGAAAAUUCUAGCCAAGGCAAAAUCUGAUAUUUUAGGUUUCAAAUCUUCAUCCAACAAAAUAUUACUAACUUUUAAGUCUUGAUGAAUAAUUGUUAAUCUAGAAUAUUCUUGGAGAUAGAGAAGCCCCUGAAUAAUUCCUUGAAUGAUAUGAAUACGUUUUUUUCCAAUCCAAAAUAAACCUUCUGAUGGGAUCUGCAUCAAAUGUAAAUUUAGUUGGACGGUCAGUACCAUUAGCAUUUGGAGACGAGAAAUGCAAAUUGAGGCACAAAAAUUAGAAAUUAAGCAGUUAAGCACAUACAAAAAAGGAAAUAGUCUAAGCUUCGUUUUGGUAUAUACUCAUAGAUGAGCAUAUAUUCUUGUGUGUCAAUGCAAAAACCCAAAACUCUGAUCAAAUUUACGUGUUGAAGCUUUGCAGUAAGCAUAACCUCAUUCUUGAACUCCUCAAAUCCUUAUGUGGAUGUCUUCGAUAGUUUCUUCACUGCUAUUAUUUGUCCAUCAGAUAAUACACCCUGCAAGCACCCCCCAAAAUAUAUGUUUUUUUAAAAAUCAGUGUGUUCACACAUGUUGAAAAGUCAUGCACGUGACAUUGAAAUUCAAAAAUGAAUGCAAAAUUUCAAAUGGCUACCAAACAUUUGAAGAAAAAAUGGAAAGUUGGCAAAUUUGUCAAAUUUGCCAAAUGGACACCAUUGACUAUUGGCUUAGGUUAUGUGGAAUAGUAAAAGGGUUGGUGCAAUAGUGCCAUUAUUUUCCCUAUAAAUAGAUGGCACUUCUUCCAUUCUAAAUCAUCCCAAAAUUGUUAAGCUUAUAAGUUUCUAAGCUUUUGAGAGAAGUGAGAGAAGUGUGUCUGAGGAAUUUAUCUUUCCUGCAGAGUGUGAGAGUACUGGGUAUAUUUGGGUUUCUGGGAAGUGAGAUUCGUUACUCAAAUAUUGUAUUCUAUUAAUUGUUAAAUAAACAAUUAUUCUUUCUUGCCUUCGUGGAUGUAGGUUUAAUUACCAAACCACGUAAAUUCUUGUGUCCUUUAUUUUUCAGUAAUUAUUUGGUGCGCUUGAUUCCGCAUUCCGCGCACAACAAGUGGUAUCAGAGCCGACGGUUCGUACUUGGGGGGAUACGGUACUAUUCACGUAUACGGUACUGUUCACGUAUACGGUAAUGUUCAUGUAUACGGUACUAUUCACGAAUACGUUGGAGACGGCCAUUUGUACUUGGGAGACAGUCUAUUGUAAGUAGUGUGUAUUUUUGCAUGUCUAGGAAAGUUCUGUCAAAAAAGGCGAUAAGAGUCUAAGGAUUCUGGUUUUUAAUUGGGACCGAAUUCCCGUCCAGUUUUCUGGGAACUUUCCUGGUGCAUUUAUUCACGCGAAAUUAACAUCAUAGAGGCUGUUUUUCAAGUGGAAAUAGUUCGUUGAGAAAAAUCGUAGAAGGUGAAACUUCCAGAAUUGGGGAGAGAUCUACCGAGACUAUUUCAGGAGACAUUUCAGGUGGGAGGCGAGAUUUGUCAAAUCGCUAUUCAGCACCUGUUAUAGGAGGCCAGAAGAUCGAUGUUGAAAAGUUUGAUGGGAAAAUCAACUUCGGCAUGUGGAGGCGCGAAGUUAUGGAUGCCCUUAUUCAAAUCGAUCUCGAUGUUGUCCUGAAAAAUAAAAGACACUUGUAUGAUGAAGAAAUUUGGGAUCGUAUGAACGAGAAAGCCUGUGGUCAGAUCAGAUCUUGUUUGACCAAGGAGGUGAAAUACUUGGUGAAAGAUGAGGAGUGUGCAGUGACUUUGUGGCGUACAUUGGAAGAGAAGUACCUGGUGAAAAGUCCUGAAAAUCGUCUUCAUGCAAUGAGCCAAGUAUAUGGCUUUCGAAUGAAGUCUGGGGUGUCAAUGCACGAUCAUGUUUCAAGAUUUAAAAAGUUACUUGCUGAUUUGAAGAAUCUUGAUGAAGAUAUUAAAGAUGAAGUCAAUGCUAUGAUUCUGUUACACUCACUACCAGAGGAAUAUAGCCAUUUUGUGACUACUUUGAUAUAUGGGAAGAGUGUGAUCGUCUUUAAAGAUGUUUGCACAGCAUUGACUAGUUUGGAGAUUCGGAAUAAUGAUAAAAAUUCUGAACGAGCAUCGUCUGAAGCUUUGGUGAGCAGAGAUUGGGCGAUGGAGAAAAAGAUAAAUGGUGGUGGAAAGAAUUCUCGAUCCAAAUCGAGAAGCAGAAAUAUAGCUCGAGAUGAGUGUGCCUUUUGUCAUGAAAAGGGCCAUUGGAGGAAAGAUUGUCCAAAGGCUCAAAAGAGAGAUGGGAAAAAACCAGCAUCAGCAAACAUGGCACGGAAAGAUGAGGACUCUGAUUAUUCACUAAGUAUCACUCCUGCAGCAUAUGUGGCUAGUUCGAGUGAGUGGAUACUUGAUACUGGAGCAACCUAUCAUUUGUGUCAUAUUAAGGAAUGGUUUACGGAUUUUCGUAAUCUGGAAUCCGGUGCAGUUAUGAUGGGGAAUAAUCAACCUUGUCGCACAAUGGGGAUAGGAACAAUUCGGCUCAAAAUGUUUGAUGGAAUGGUCAGAGAACUCAAAGAGGUUAGAUUUGUUCCAGAGAUAAAGAAAAAUCUAAUUUCUGUGGGUGCUUUGGAAGCUAAAGGUUACAAAGUUACCAUUGAAGAUGGCACAAUGAAGUUUACACAUGGGGCUAUGGUGAUUCUGCAAGGGGUUCGGCGUCACAAUCUGUACUAUUUGAAAGGAGGUACAACUGAUGAAGCAAAUGUUGUUGAGGCGCACAGUGACACCACCAAGCUAUGGCAUGUACGACUGGGACAUGCAGGAGAGAAGUCUUUGCAAACUCUGAUGAGGCAUGGACUCUUAAAAGGUAUCAAAACCUGUAAAUUAAAUUUCUGUGAGCAUUGUGUAGUAGGCAAAAAAACAAGGGUCAAGUUUGGUACAGCUAAUCACGAUACUCGUGAGAUCCUUGAAUAUGUUCAUAGUGAUGUAUGGGGACCAACCAAGACUGCAUCAAUUGGUGGAAGCCAUUAUUUUGUUAUAUUUGUUGAUGAUUUCUCUAGACGUGUAUGGGUGUACACCAUGCGAGCAAAGGAUGAGGUUCUAGAGAUUUUCGUGAAGUGGAAGAAAUUGGUGGAGACUCAAACUGGCAGAAAGAUCAAAGUAUUACGAUCUGAUAAUGGGGGUGAAUAUACUUCUGAUCCAUUCUUGCAAGUAUGCCAGAACGAGGGUAUUAAAAGACAUUUCACAGUGAGACAUACUCCGCAACAGAACGGUGUGGCUGAGCGUAUGAAUCGUACUUUACUGGAGAAGGUACGAUGUAUGUUAUCUAAUGCUGGUUUAGAUAAAAAGUUUUGGCCUGAAACUGUGAGCUACGCAAGUCACUUGGUAAAUCGGUUGCCUUCUGCUGCAAUUGGAGGUAAAACUCCUAUGGAAAUGUGGUUUGGAAAGCAUGCACAAGACUAUGAUUCCCUUCGUGUAUUCGGGUGUCCAGCUUAUUAUCAUGUCAAAGAUGGUAAACUGGAUCCUCGUGCUAGAAAAUCUAUCUUUGUGGGAUUCAAAGGUAGAGUAAAGUGCUUCAAGCUUUGGGAUCUCGAAGACAAAAAGUUUGUGUGUAGCAGAGAUGUCACAUUUGAUGAAGCUUCAAUGAUAAAAGCUUCAAGUUCUCAGCAGGUGGAGAACAAGACCACAUAUGUAUUGCAGCGGGUGGAGUUUGAUGCAACUCCAUAUGUACCAGUUAGUUCUACAUCAAAGAAUGGUUCAACUAUGGAGGUGACACCUAAAGUUGAAGAAGAGGUUGUUUCUUCUGAUGUCCCACAAAAUGAAGAAACAAUUGAUGAUGUAGAUGAUGAUGAUUUUAUAGCAACAAGGAGGCCAAGAAGAGAGAUAAAGAAACACGGAUGGCUUACUAAAGAUAUGGUGGUAGCCUAUGCACUUUCAGUUAUUGAUGAUGACAUCCCCAAUACUUUCGGUGAAGCAUUACGCAGUAAUGAAAGUGAUCAGUGGAAGCUAGCCAUGGAGGAAGAGAUGAAAUCUCUCCAUCAAAACCAGACUUGGGAACUUGUAAAGUUACCAAAGGGGAAAAGGGCUAUUGGCAAUAAAUGGGUCUACACCAAAAAGCAAGGAUCUCCGAAUCAAACAACUCCUCGAUACAAGGCAAGGCUCGUGGCAAAAGGUUUUGCUCAAAAGGAAGGUAUUGACUACAAUGAAGUUUUGUCUCCAGUUGUAAAACAUACUUCCAUUCGUAUCCUACUUGCCUUAGUUGCAGAAUAUGAAUUAGAGUUGGCUCAGUUGGAUGUUAAGACGGCGUUCUUACAUGGAGAUUUGGAGGAGGAAAUCUACAUGAUUCAGCCUUGUGGUUUUAGAGUUGCUGGAAAGGAGAAUCAUGUGUGUAGGUUGAUUAAAUCUUUGUACGGACUGAAGCAAUCGCCAAGGCAGUGGUAUAAAAGAUUUGAUCAAUUUAUACAAGGGCAGAAAUUCACCAGAAGUGAACACGAUCAUUGUGUUUACUUUAGAAGACUACCAGAUAGAGCUUUCAUCUAUUUGCUACUCUAUGUCGACGAUAUGCUUAUAGCUUCGAAGAAUAGAGAUGAGAUCGAAAGAUUAAAGAAGCAGCUGGCUUCUGAGUUCGAGAUGAAAGACUUGGGUGAUGCACAGAGAAUACUUGGGAUGGAGAUUUGUAGAGACAAGAAGAAUGGGAGCGUAUGGUUGACUCAAAAGUCUUAUUUGAAGAAAGUGCUAGAAAGAUUCGGUAUGGAUGACAAAACUAAACCGGUAUGUACACCUCUAGCUCCUCAUUUCAAAUUAGGCUCUUCUUCAUGUCCUAAAUCUCAAGAGGAGCGCGAUUACAUGGCUCGUGUUCCAUAUGCUAGUGCUGUGGGUAGUCUUAUGUAUGCUAUGGUAUGUACAAGGCCCGAUAUAUCUCAAGCAGUAAGCAUGGUUAGUAGAUACAUGCACGAUCCGGGUAAAAGUCACUGGCUUGCAGUAAAGUGGAUUCUUCGAUAUCUGUAUGGGACAGUUGAUGUUGGGUUAUUGUUCAAGAAGGAUUGUGGUCAACAAUGUGUUGGCUAUUGUGAUUCUGAUUUCGCUGGAGACCUUGACAAGCGAAGAUCAACAACGGGCUACGUAUUCACAUUGGGUGGAGGUCCAGUUAGCUGGAGGUCAAUUUUGCAAUCGACAAUUGCUCUGUCCACUACGGAAGCAGAGUACAUGGCAACAACUGAAGCUGUAAAGGAAGCUAUCUGGUUGAAAGGCUUGUUAGGUGAUUUGGGAGUAAUCCAGGAGAACAUUACGGUCUUCUGUGAUAAUCAAAGUGCGAUAUUCCUUGCGAAGAAUCAAACAUAUCACGCUCGGACAAAGCACAUAGAUGUGAAAUAUCAUUAUGUGAGAGAGAUUAUCGAGAGCGAUGUUGUGUUGUUGAGAAAGAUCGAUACCAAAGAUAAUCCAUCAGAUAUGUUGACGAAGGUAGUUUCUGGAGUUAAGUAUCAACAUUUCUUGAAAUUAAUUCAAAUCCUUCGAUUGUGUUAAAGAUAUGUCCUUCGGGAAUUUUGAACUACGGUUGGCUUGAUCCCAAAUUUUGGGUACGUAGGCAGUCGAAACGACACAGCCAUUCUGGAUCCUUAUUGAAGGAUCACUUUGGGGAUGAGGGUUCGUUGGUAGUCGGCUCAGAUUUGGACAAAUUUUCGCCGAGGUGGAGAAUUGUUGAAAAGUCAUGCACGUGACAUUGAAAUUCAAAAAUGAAUGCAAAAUUUCAAAUGGCUACCAAACAUUUGAAGAAAAAAUGGAAAGUUGGCAAAUUUGUCAAAUUUGCCAAAUGGACACCAUUGACUAUUGGCUUAGGUUAUGUGGAAUAGUAAAAGGGUUGGUGCAAUAGUGCCAUUAUUUUCCCUAUAAAUAGAUGGCACUUCUUCCAUUCUAAAUCAUCCCAAAAUUGUUAAGCUUAUAAGUUUCUAAGCUUUUGAGAGAAGUGAGAGAAGUGUCUGAGGAAUUUAUCUUUCCUGCAGAGUGUGAGAGUACUGGGUAUAUUUGGGUUUCUGGGAAGUGAGAUUCGUUACUCAAAUAUUGUAUUCUAUUAAUUGUUAAAUAAACAAUUAUUCUUUCUUGCCUUCGUGGAUGUAGGUUUAAUUACCGAACCACGUAAAUUCUUGUGUCCUUUAUUUUUCAGUAAUUAUUUGGUGCGCUUGAUUCCGCAUUCCGCGCACAACAACACACACACACGUAGCUUGCACUAAUUAAUUAAUAAGCUGAGAGAUAACCAAGCUACCGAUACAUAACCUUGUAAACAGGACCAUAUCCACCCUCCCCGAGCUUAUUUUCAAUUAAAAAUCUAUCCGUGGCCACCUCAAUAUCAGCCAAGCUAUAUUCUCUCAGAUCAGGAUCAUUGCUGUUAAAAUCUCCAGCAUCCGCUUGUCUAUUUUCGCUGUCCUUUGAUGCUUUGGCUGAGUCAAUUACGGUCCAAUUAAUAUCAACCAAGAGAAAGAAAGCUAAUUUAAGUGAAUCGCCCACUUCUUCAUCUGUGUUAAAUGGAAUAGAAGUAAAAAUAUUCCUAAUCCCGUGUAGAAGAAGUUACCUUUUAAUUUGAGGUUUUUCAUCCAGCAGUAGUAAUACAGCAAAAAGCCUAUUAGAAGAAUACAAGCUGCAGUUAUAGGCAAAACAAUUGCCCAUAAUAGCCGCUUAUUUUGUCGAUUCCUUUCAUCCUCUUCAGCUGAAAAGUCAAAUCACUUUGUGUUAUUUAACCACUGAUGGUCAAAUAAAGAUCUUAAUUGAAGUCAUUAUGCAGAGAACUGAUCGAAUGGGUAGCAGGCAGUGAGUGAGGCUUUGCAUUUGCUUACCUGCAGCUUGAGAAAGCAUCCAAUAAUGAUCACUGGAAACUUGCCACACAUAGUAACCACGUAGCUUCUUUUCCUUGGCAUAUGCAACCUUCACUCUAACAGCCUCGACAUCAUCAAAACCAAACCAAAUCUUCCCAAUCGAGCAGUAAUUCACGACAUAAGUUGAAUUGUACAUUACUUGAACAUUAGGACGAUAGUUCUUGAUGUGAUUCUUGACUUCCUUAUAAGUCACAAGGCCAUCAUCAUGCAAAGCUGGUCCUGUUGUUGCUGCGCCAAUGCCAUUGUCCUCAGGUUUCACAAGCGUCCAUGCAUAGCCAUAAAAAGGCAAACAUAAAACCAAUUUAUCAGCCGAUAACCCUUCCUCAAUCCAUUCCGUGAUUCCAUAUUCAGUAUUAGAGACACUAUUUGGAUCAUACAGAGCCGCAUGAGCACCAGUAAAAUUUUUCCGCGUAGGGCUUGAGUAUUCGGUAGUGAUAACAUGAACCCAAUUCAAGUACUGUCUUAUCGAGUCGACUGGAUAAGCUGCUGCUGUUGAGAGUGGUGAAUAUGCGACCUUUGCUGUCAAAAUCAACUGUGAUUGGCUCGAGUUAUUUCUUGCUUCUAAAGCAACGGCAGCUCGCCAUUCUUUUAAAGAGAAUGCCAAUAUUGUACUUAUCCCAGUUUGUGUUUGCCUGAUUCCAAGACAGAUCUAAGCCUUGAAAGCCAUAAAGCCUUGCUAUUUUUAUUGAGGAGUCAAUAAAGUAUUUCCUGAAAGAAGGAUUGCCCGCCAUGGAAGAAUAACUUGAAUAGUUUGGAUUAUUGCCUCCUCCGAUGGAAAGAAGAGUAGUGAUUGAUGGGUUCUUUAUUUUGACAGUGUCUGUGAAGUUGGAGAAUUGUUUUUCAUCAGAAGGUGAUAAAGAAAGCUCAUAGGAAGUUGAGUUGACAUCGGCAAAACCACACAUAAGGUGAGUGAAAAGAGCAGAAUUUACAUCUGAAACGGGGAACCCACCGUCUGAAUCCCAGUAACCAGCUCUGAUUAAAGUUUGUGCCCUUGCAGGAAGCGAUUCUGAAAAUAUAAAAAUGUAGAGUACAAGAAUGAUAAUUUUGGAUGCCAUUGUGGGAACCUUGCUGCUUUGAGGCAAACCUAGUAUGUGAUUACAUAUAUAUGUACAGACACAAAAUGUAAUGGAGAAAAUAUCCGACACCGAUUGAGAUUUGUUAUUGGACUAUAAUACAAACUUGAGGCAACUUUCAACUCAUGAGCUUAGCUCAUAAGUCUUUAUACGGUAUCAAAGUCAAGUUUCGAAAGAGUGACUCUAUACUACCUUUCAAUUUAACAAAGAGAAAGAAAAGAGAUCAGCCUACACGUGGUAGGAAGAUAGAAAAAGUAUAUCACAUUGGCUAAGAUUAAUUACUAGGUUGAUAAUAUAAGCUCAAAACAACAUUUAACUGUUGCGGAAAUGUGGGUUGAGCAAUUACUAAUACUGCAACUUCUGAAGAAAUAUAAAUGUGGUGUUAAACAAAUGCAAAGAAAAUAUAACACAAUGAUUUACGUGGUUCGGCGUAAUGCUUACAUCCACAGGCAAAAACUAAAAGAUAAUUUUACUAACAAUGAAAAUUUACAAAAGUGAGAAAAAUUCACAAAACCCACAACCCCAAUACACCCAAAUGAAACCUAACUAGAACACUCAAAUGGAAGCUCUCGUAAAUUCUCUCAAAGAACUCACUUGCAAUUGCUCUCUCCAUUUCUUUCAAAUUGGGAUGAUUUACAAAUGCAUUUUGCUUCUCUAUUUAUAGGCAAAGCAUGCUCACCCACCACACGGCUUCAAUUUGACUUUAAUUGGCUAAAUUGACAAAUUUGGCAAUUGGUGCCAAAUUUGUCAUGCAAUGCAUGCUAGCUGUUCCAUGCCAUUUAUUCAAUUUGCAUAUUUUCAAAACCUAACUUUGCUUUUUUGAAAUUGGUAAGCCGACCAUUUGACUUUUCAACAUCAACUCCAUAACAAGCUGUAAUUUAAUAAAGUUAGGUCAACUCGAUAUUUUAUAUAGUACGUCAUGAGUGAGGAGGAGUUUAAGCUACAAAUCGCAGUCAUGAGUGAGGACAAAUUUGAUUCUCUCAAGAUUUUGCGUUUUGUACACGUUGAUCAUGGACUGAAUCAAAAUAGAAAAUAUUUUCACAGGAGUUUGCCUUCAAAUUGCACGAAUGGAACCAUAGAGGAAUACAUCGAAAAGUUUGUCUUCUUGCCAUGAUGUUAAGUGAGAAGAUUGAAGUUCUUAAAUUAAGCUAUGACGUUUUACCUCCACUUAGCUUGACUUCUGAAGCUGAAGACUCAUCCUUUUGCAUUGACUUUGUUGGUAUUUAAAUGACCUCGGAGUCUUGGACGUGUUUCUGAAGCAAUGUCAUGGUCUAUGAGUAGAUUUUAUUUUUUGGGUAAGAAAGGGAAAGUCUGUCGUUAGGAAAACAUCCUGACAACGAGAUGGUGAGAGGGGAUGAAAAAGAAAUUAUACACUUAGUUACUUCCUCAUGAUAAGAUUCAGUGGUAUUGUAAUUUUAAUAAAAAAUUAAGACCAUUUUGCCUUUUUCCUUGUGUAAUUUAAUUUUCAGUCAAGACCACCCUCCCAUUUUAGUACAGGGAAAUUAUCAUUUGUAUAUUCUUAGUUUACUCCAUUAUCAAAAAUAUUACAACACUUUGAGGGUGUAUCAAUCGUCUACCCUAAGUUGACAAAAUGUAUUAGCUGACCACCAAACCGUUAGUUGCCGUUUAAGUAUGAUGAUAUCAGAAGGGUAAUUUGGUUUUUUCAUAUGAUACAAGUGAUAAUUUAAGGGUAUACAAGUGAUAAAAAGAGAAUUUAAGGGUAUACAAGUGAUAAUUUUCAAGGGUAAAAUCGUCAAUUCACUGUAAUUCCGUUAACUUUCAAACGGCAACUAACGGUUUGGUGGUCGGCUGAUACAUUUUGUCAACUAAGGGUGGACGAUUGAUACACCCUCAAAGUGUUGUAGUAGUUUUGAUAACAGAGCAAAUAUAAGGUAUACGAAUGAUAAUUUUCCUUUAGUAUAAAAGCCUAUACAAAUGUACGUUUUACUCAAUGUUUACAUAGAAACAAAUGGCGCGAAGACGAUUUGUCAAUCUAGUACCACUCUCGUAUACUUGGUAAGAUUUGGCUUCACCAAAUUGUAGCCUAUAUUUUACUUUAAUGAGAAAAUCAAAUAAUAUAUGUUUGAACAAAUAAUUUUCUUUGCUCUAUAUACUUUCUUAAAAUGUAUGGAGUGGGUAAAGUAUAAAUUGAUCUCUUAGCCCGUUGACUCCUCCAAAAUUCAAACUCAAUUUAAUGGUAAGUUAAAUAAUGCUACUUGAAAAUCAUUCCACCAAAUAUCAUAAAAACUAUAAUUAAGUUUCACUGAUUAUUGAAUUAUAGAAUGUGCUAUCAUUUCCUAGCUAGAAUUUGUUUAAUUCUAUUAAUUUACAAUCAUUUUUAUUUUAUUUAAUUAAUUAAAGUGAAUUUAUUAUGUAUAAGUUCUAUAUAUGUAAAAUUUUAAAAUCUAAUGUUGAAUUGAAUUGUACUGAACUUUUUAUAAUUUUUUAUCACGCCUGCAAAUUUAACAGUUUUGUAUUAAUAUUGAUAGCACAUAAUAUAUAGGAUUAAGAGAGAUUGGUUUCGAGUUGCUACAAGCAUUUUGGGAUUGCAUGCACAAGGGUUUAUAAACAAAGGGUGCAAUUAAUUACCCCAAACGAGGGUGCAUUUUUAUGAUGAAAUAAAAACUACGUGCGGGGUUGUAAAAGUGGCUCCAUAAUUAAUGUACAUUAACAUUCAUCUAGCUAUCACCUCCGAAAAUGAUACAGCAUAAGCCGAGCAUUUUUCCAAUUGUGUUGUAGAUAAUAGUUCAAUCCCAAUUUCAUCAACUUGUUUUGAGAAAGGAGGCUUCUUGGGAGUAUUAAUAUUUGUGGUUCCAUUCUUGAGCAUUGAGGAAACUUCCAGCAUUGAAGGUCGGUCGUUUGGAUUCUCCUGGACACACAACAAAGCUAUUUCCAGACAUCUCAUUAAUUUACAAGGGGAAUUUGUAUUGUCUAGGAAUGAAUCCACAAACUCCACGCCUUUGCCACCUUUCCACAACUGAUAUGCCUGAAAUUAUCAAGUACCAUCUCGUUACAUAAUUUAUACUUCUUAAUUAAGUGCGCAUAUGUGUACUCAGGGUUACUAUAGCCGAAGAAACUUACGUGCUCUAGAAUGCUUAAAUUUUCAUUGAUGCCACAUAACACUGAAAGCCUCUUUCCACUUAUGAUUUGUAGAAGUAAAACUCCGAAACUAAAAACGUCUGAUUUGGUAGAGUAUACACCUUGUCUGGCGUACUCAGGAGGAAUAUAGCCUCUGCAUUCAAAAUAACCAAGUAUAUAUGAGUAAGGGAUUUUGCAAUUUAAUAAAUUUGUAAAACCCAUUUUAAAUUGUGGUAAAAGUCCAUUCCGCAUUUUAUUAAAGUGCUGAAUUCCUUAUUCGAAACCCAAUAUAUGUAUAACAAACAGAAGCUUGAGUAAAGGAUAUCAUUUAGUUGUGAUAUACUUACAUUGUUCCCACAACUUGUUCUGAUUCGCGUCGAGACUCUCUUUUGCAAAAAUUCUAGCCAUACCAAAAUUUGAAAUUUUAGGUUUCAUAUCUUGACCUAACAAAACAUUACUGGCUUUCAAGUCUCGAUGAAUAAUAGUCAGUCUUGAGUAUUCUUGGAGGUAUAAAAGUCCUUGAGUUAUCCCUUCAAUGAUAUGAACAUGUUUUUUCCAAUCCAAAAGAAGUCUUCUGAUGGGAUCUACAACAAAUAUAUAGUUUUGGACAAUAAGUGAUAUACAAGCGAAUUAUAUACACAAUUGAUAUUAACUUGAUUUCAGAACAAACCAAAAAGGUAGCAAUCCAAGCUUUUGUUUGGCAUGUAUUCGUAGACCAGCAUCCGUUCCUCACUGUCAAUGCAAAAACCUAAAACUCUAAUAAGAUUUACAUGUUGGAGUUUUGCAGUAAGAAUAACCUCAUUCUUAAACUCCUCAAAUCCCUGUGCGGAUGAUUUCGAAAGUUUCUUCACUGCUAUCACCACUCCACAGGGUAAUACACCCUGCAACCCAAAAAAAAACCACGUUCAUAUAAAGCUUUCACUAAUUAGAGACGCUGAGAAAUGUUAGCCAAACAAUAUGCUACCCCCCAAAGUUGAGGGCACCAUUUUAAGUCCUUUAGUCCCCAUGGACGCAAAAUGUAAAUCUCCUCUCACAGAAUAUGGAUAUGGGUAGAGGUAUCUUCCUCAAAUGUUAGUCAAAGUAGUUAUAUCCCUCUAGUGUGAGGUUAAAGGUCUCAUCUCUAAUAGGCAUAGAGUUUUAAAUUAUAUGUUUUGGGCCUCUGAAUUCUACGACGAGUGUACAAAUUCAAACUUCCGAUAGGAUCCAAAUUGCAACAUUGUGGAUUGUAACAAAUUAAAAUAUAGGUACACACACACACACACAUGUUACCUUGUAAACAGGACCAUAUCCACCCUCCCCAAGGUUAUUUCUAAUUGAAAAUCCCUCGGUGGCCGCCUCAAUAUCAGCCAAACUAUAUACUCUGAGAUUAGGAACAUUUCUGUUAAAGUCUCCAGCUUCUGUUUCAUUAUUUUCUCUCGUGUUUGAUGCUUUAGCAGAAUCCUCUGUUCCUAACAUCAACCAAGAGUAAAUAUUAGAUAAUUAAUUGUAUGUCAGCCUAAGUUUUAUAUAUAUAUGAAAUGCAUGCUUAAUUAUAAUUGGUAGCUGAAGCUUGUUACCUUCUAUUAACUUGAGCCUUUUCAUCUGGUUGUAUUUAUAUGCACAACAACUUAGAAGGAGAGUCAAAGCUGCCGCUGCAGUCGAAAUGAGUACCAAGGACAGAUGGCGGUUAUUACUAUGUUCAUCUUUGUCAGCUGAAGCAGAAGUAAUCCUGUCUUUUUGUGCUGGAAAUAUGUAUAGUUCAGCAAUUAAUAAUAACUAGCUAGAGAUGCCAUAACAAUCAUUAUUAAUCAGAGAGAACAAUUAUUGCAUAGAUAAAUACCUGCAGCUUGAGAAAGUACCCAAUUAUGAUCGUCAUAAUCAACUCGCCAAACAUAGUAACCAAGAAAUCUCUUCUCUUUGGCAUAGGCGAUCUUAGCUCUAACAGCCUCCACAUCAUCAAAACCAAACCAAAUCGUCCCAGUGGAGAAGUAAUUCACCACAUAAGUUGAAUUGUACAUAACUUGAACAUUAGGACCAUAGGUCUUGAUGUGAUUCUUGAUAUCCCUAUAGGUCACAAGGCCACCAUUACUCAUAGCUGGUCCUGCUGCUGCUACUCCAAUACCAUUGUCUUCAGGUUUCACAAGCGUCCAUGCAUAGCCGUAGAAAGGCAAACACAAAACCAACUUAUCAGCCAAUAACCCUCUCUAAAUCCAUGCCCUUAAAACCUGAUCAGUACUGUCAAAGAAGCUCAUAAUGCAUGGAAGGAUGCAGCACACGUGUGAGAUGAAUAUAGUCAGCUGAAUCAAUUGAAGAGUGGAGUGCCAGCUCAGCUGAAGUUAGUUAGACACGUUAAGAUCAAGUUUUAGUUAGUUCUUCAUUUUCUGUUAAGCUGAAAAACAGCUGAGUAUAAAUACAAGCAUAUUGUAAUCAUUUUGAGGUUAAGUAAAAAUAAAAUAAAGCAUUUGAUUCCAGAAUUUCUUUUACAAAUUUUCUUAGCACUUUAGAUACAUUUUCUCAGUAACCAAACAGUUUGUUCAUUCAAGCUUUUAAGCUUUCAAACAUGGUAUCAGAGCCUUACAGAGCUAGUUCCAGUAAUCAACAGUCAAGCCUUCGUAAUCAAACAACAAACAACACAAAUCAACCUACUCAAAUCAACUUCUCUUUUUCUAAUCCUAUCAAGCUAGAUCGAUCCAAUUACUUACUCUGGCGUUCUCAAGUUUUGGCCUCAAUAAGAGGCAAUCGUUUGGAAGAUUUCGUCACAAGAGCCAGAUCAGUACCUGAUAAGUGUCUUCUGUUAACUGAAGCAGAUGGAUCUACACAACAAGUUGAAAAUCCAGAAUAUCAGAUCUGGAGAUCACAGGAUCAGACACUUCUUGGCUGGCUACUGUUGUCAUUAAGUGAAGGUAUCUUAAGUCUUGUAAUCAAUUGUGAGAGUUCAUUUGAUAUAUGGAAAACUUUGGAAAAGAAAUUUGGAGUUCAAUCUGAAGCUCGAGUUCUUCAGCUCAGAUACGAACUAAACACUCUUAAAAAGGAAGCCCUUAGUGUUGAAGAUUAUUGUAUUAAAAUGAAAGCAAUAGCAGAUAAGCUGGCCAGUGCUGGUAGUUCAAUUACAGAGAAGGAUCUUAUGCUAACUAUUCUUAAUGGAUUAGGAUCAUGAUAUCGUGAUAUUGCUACAUUUAUAACUGGUUCACGAAUGGAGUUUGAUGAUGCUUAUGCACUGUUACUCACUCAUGAGACUAGAUUAGAGCAGGAGCAAGGUGACAAAAGUAUGUUUAAUGCAAACUAUGCAUACACAAAUGCAUAUUAUCCUAGAGCUUAUUUUGCACAGCCUAGAAGAAGUUUUAAACGAGGAGGUUAUUCUGGUGGUAGAACUCCUUUCUUUGGCAGAGGAAAUAUGAAUUACUCUCCAAGAAUGUUUAAUGGAGGCUUUAGAAAUGGAUAUGGCAGAGGAUUUUUUCCUGGAAAUAACUCAACUGAUUUCAAUCAUUUUCCAGCUCCUAGGAAUCCAGUACCUAGGAACUCAUCUUUUCCAGCUAGAAAUGGAUCUGCUAACAUGAGUGGAUCACAAGGAAGUUUUAAUAAUGCUGGAGAGAUGACAUGUCAGAUUUGUUUUAAGAAUGGCCAUACUGCUGAUGUCUGUUGGCACAGAUUUGUUGAAGAUUUUGUACCUGUUCCAAGAGGUUUUGGCAAGGGAAGAACACCAAGAGCAGCAUAUUUAUCAAACUUUGAUGGCUCCAUUUCUAAUCCAGAUUUUGGCUAUGAAAAUCUUAAUACUAUGUUUCCAGGUUAUGACUCUAUAUCUGGCAAUAGCUACUAUUCUGGAAUGGAUGGAUACACUUCUGGAGCAGCUAGAACAGCUUUCAUGGCAAAUUUUGAAGGGACUGCUGAUGAUGGAUGGUAUCUGGAUAGUGGGGCAACUCACCAUUUAACCAACAAUAUGGAGAAUUUGCAGAUCAAUGAAGAGUUUAAAGGUACUGAUUAGCUUAUCAUUGGAAAUGGUCAAGGUUUGUCUAUUACUCAUGUUGGACAUGCAUUUCUGGUAUUAAGAGCUUCUAAACCCUUAUCUACACAUGCUAGAAUAAAACUUAAAGAUAUGUUACUUGUCCCUUCAAUUACCAAAAAUCUAUUAAGUAUUUCUAAACUCACAUCUGAUAACCCUUUAUCUGUUGAAUUCUGUGGAAAUGCUUGUUUUGUGAAGGACAUGAAGGGUCAAGUUCUUCUGCAGGGUAUUGCUGAAAAAGGCCUUUACAAGCUGCUGCUGAACUCAAAUUCUCUUUCUUCAUCACCUACAUCUUAUCUUUGUAAAUCCCAGCCAAAUAAACUAGUCUCUAUGUUGUCUGCUUUCAAACACUCUGAUAAUGGUACUCGAGCUUGUUUUCAGUUUGUUUUAAAUAAGUGUAAUGCCAAACCUAAUGUAAUAACUUUGUUACAUAGAAAGUUUGGUCAUCCAAGCUCAAUGACAUUGAUGCAUUUGCUCAAAUCAUGUAAACAGUUUAAAGUCUCUCCAAAAGACAUGUUAUCUUCUGCAAGUACUUUAUGUGAAGCAUGUCAGCUAGGCAAAGUCCAUAAGCAACAUUUCUCAAUAACCGAAACAAAAACAAAAGAGGUAUUAGAAUUGAUCCAUACUGAUCUUUGGGGGCCUUCACCCACUGUGUCUAGAGAUGGAUACAAAUAUUACAUUAGUUUUGUGGAUGAUUACACUAGGUACUCUUGGAUCUAUCCUCUUAAGCUCAAAUCACAAGCAUUUGAAGUUUUCAAAUUGUGCAAAACUCAAGUUGAAAAUCAGUUUGAUACCAAAAUUAAGAUGCUACAAUCUGACCUUAGGGGAGAGUUUAGAGCAUUUACUGAUUUUCUCAAUCAAAAUGGAAUAAUCUUUAGGCACUCAUGUCCUUACAUCCAUCACCAGAAUGGUCUUGUUGAGAGGAAGCACAGGCAUAUAGUUGAACUAGGAUUAACCCUCAUGGCUCAAGCAAAUCUUCCUCUUCAAUUCUGGUGGGAAGCUGUUCAUACAGCAGUGUAUCAUAUUAAUAGAUUGCCUACCCCUGUUCUGAAAUUCUUAUCUCCUUAUGAGAAACUUUUCAAACACAAACCAGAUUACACAUUUCUAAAGUGUUUUGGUUGUCUUUGUUAUCCAUACUUGAGAGACUUUAACAAACAUAAGUUUGAUUUUCACACUUCUAAAUGCAUUUUUAUUAGAUACAAUCCCUCUUAUAAAGGAUACAAAUGCUUAGCAAGUUUUGGUAAAGUCUAUGUUCUUAGACAUGUCAUUUUUUAUGAAACACAUUCCCUUAUCCAAUAAACAUUGCAUUCUCAACAGAAAAUCACAUAUCUUCUAAAACCUCAGUGUCUAAUUUCUCUCAGCAACAUAUCUAUCAUCUUUCUACAAUAGCCUUACUCAACAGCAGCUUUGAAGGUCUUCAGUCAGCAAGCUCAGCAAGAAAUGAACAAAUGCCCUUUGGUCCCACACAUACAGAUGUUUUGAAUCAACAAGAACAUCCAUCACACACAUCCUUAGAGUUAUCAUCCUCAACCUCACCAUCACCAAACACAUUACUAAUGCAAUCAUCCAUUCUACAACCAGAGGAAACUUCUUCACAGAAUAUAGACCAAAUUCAAACCAGAAAUCAUUCCCAACCAUCUUCUCAUCCAAUGAUUACCAGAUCGAAAUCUGGAAUCUUCAAACCAAAGGUCUAUACAGUCACCUUAGCCAACAAAGAACCCAGUACAGUUCAAGAAGCUCUUAGUAGUCAGAAUUGGCAUCAAGCCAUGGUAGAUGAGUAUGAAGCUUUGAUGAAGAAUAAGACUUGGUCACUGGUACCAUUUUCAAAUGCAUACAAAGUAGUUGACAACAAAUGGGUGUUUAGACUCAAGCAAAAUACUGAUGGAAGCAUAGCCAAACACAAGGCCAGAUUGGUUGCCAAAGGUUUUCAGCAAACUGAAGGUGUGGAUUACUUUGAGACAUUUAGCCCAGUUGUAAAAGCUUCAACAGUGAGGAUUGUUUUGAGUUUAGCUGUGAUGCAUAAAUGGAAAAUAAGGCAAGUGGAUGUGAAUAAUGCCUUUUUGAAUGGAGAAUUGACAGAGGAUGUCUAUAUGUAUCAGCCUGAAGGUUUUAUUGAUCAACAAAAACCUAAUCAUGUAUGCAAGCUGAAGAAGGCCUUGUAUGGCUUAAAGCAAGCUCCUAGAGCUUGGUAUGACAAGCUUAAGAAUUGUCUGAUUGCUAAUUGGAAAUUUCAGAAUUCAAAGGCUGAUACCUCUCUUUUCUUCAAAGAAGUGCAGGGCUCAAUGAUACUCAUCUUAAUCUAUGUAGAUGACAUUCUAAUGACAGGACCUGACAAUGGUGAACUGGAGAAAUUCAUCUCAAAAUUCAGUAAGACUUUUGCUUUAAAAGACUUGGGAAUUCUGUCAUAUUUUCUAGGAAUAGAAGUGUCCUAUGCUGAAGAUUGCAUCUAUCUAUCUCAGAAGAAAUAUAUCUUGGAUUUGUUAUCCAAAGCUAAUAUGCAAAAUUGUAAAGGCUGUGACACUCCCAUAGUUACUGGAUCAAAGCUUCAGAAAGAAGUCACAGGCUGUUUGGGUCAAUAUAUUGAGGAUGCAACAAGCUAUAGAAGCUUAGUUGGAGGUUUACAAUAUCUAGUAUUAACCAUACCAGAGAUAGCAUUUGCUGUGCAUAAGUUGAGCCAGUAUGUGACAGCUCCAACACUCCAGCAUGUUAUGGCUUGUAAAAGAGUUCUUAGAUACCUCAAGGAGACUGCAGAUUAUGGUUUGAAGUUUUCAGCAGGUGGGGAAAUGAAGAUCACAGGAUUUACAGAUGCAGAUUGGGCAUGUGAUGUUGAUGACAGAAAAUCAAUAGGAGCCUAUUGCAUUUAUUUUGGAAGCAAUCUAAUUUCCUGGUCAUCCAAGAAGCAGGCUGUGGUUACACGAUCCAGUGCAGAGAGUGAAUAUCGUGCUCUUGCUUCUGCAAGUGCAGAGAUAACAUGGAUCCAGUCGUUAUUCAAUGAACUUAGCAUUAAGUGUACUUCAUUACCAACUAUCUGGUGUGACAAUAUAAGUGCAACAGAGUUGGCCAAGAAUCCAGUUUAUCAUUCAAGGACUAAACACAUUGAACUGGAUAUGCACUUUAUUAGAGACAAGGUUUUGGCAAAGGAGUUAGAGAUUAACUAUAUUCCCAGCGAGGAGCAAAUUGCUGAUGCUUUGACAAAGCCUCUGACAUUUAUUCAUUUCAACUAUUUCAGAGCCAAACUCAAUGUGCAACCAUGCCCCUUGAGUUUGAGGGGGACUGUCAAGGAAGCUCAUAAUGCAUGGAAGGAUGCAGCACACGUGUGAGAUGAAUAUAGUCAGCUGAAUCAAUUGAAGAGUGGAGUGCCAGCUCAGCUGAAGUUAGUUAGACACGUUAAGAUCAAGUUUUAGUUAGUUCUUCAUUUUCUGUUAAGCUGAAAAACAGCUGAGUAUAAAUACAAGCAUAUUGUAAUCAUUUUGAAGUUAAGUAAAAAUAAAAUAAAGCAUUUGAUUCCAGAAGUUCUUUUACAAAUUUUCUUAGCACUUUAGAUACAUUUUCUCAGUAACCAAACAGUCUGUUCAUUCAAGCUUUUAAGCUUUCAAACAAGUACUUCUAGCAUAGCCGCCGCUACUUGAGCCAUACAGAGCCGCAUGUGCCUCGGUGAAGUUUGUUGACAUAGGCUCGUAGUAUUCAGCUGUAACAACAUGAACCUAAUUCAAGUUUCGUUGCAUCGAUUUCAAAAGGUACGAAUUGUCUGGUGGUAAAUAACGAAAUCUUGCGGUCAGGAUCAGCUGGGAUUGCUGGCGGCCAGAGUUUUUUGCCUCUAAUUGUGUAGCAGCUCGGCACUCGUCAAAGAAUAAACCCGUAUUGGACAUAUCGGUGCUCGUGUUCGGAGCUUUCCAAGCAAAGUCUAGGCCCUGAAAGCCAUAAAGCCUAGCUAUUCUUAUUGAAGAGUCGAUGAAAGAUUUCCUGUGAGAAGAAUUUCUCACCAUUGAAGAAUAUAUAGAAUAGUUUGUAUAUCUUCCUUGUCUAAUGGAGAGAAGUGUAGUGGUUGAUGGGUUCUUUUGUUUCACAGUGCCUGUAAAUUUGGGGAAUAUUUGAUUUCCAUCAAACGGUGAUGAUAAAGAUAGCUGGUAAGUGGUGGAAUUGAUAUCAGCGUAAGAGCAGAUAAGGUGAGUGAAGAGAUCAUAAUUUAUGCCCGAAAUGGUGGACACUUCGCUUGGAUCCAAGUAGCCGACCCUGAUCCACGGUUUUGCUUUCGCGGGAUGAAAUUCUGAAUAGAACAACAUGUGGAAGAUGAUGCUGAUAAUUAUGGAUGCCAUUUGAGAGGCUUAUGCUUCUUAAUUACCACUUCGAUGGGAAUGGAAAUGAAUGCACACUAAUAGAAAUUAAAUAAACACAAGUUUCACAGUUCAUUAAGCUCUCAUGUGUACUAUUAACGUAUAGGUUCAUUUCGUUGCCCAAAAAAAUCUUAUGUGCUCCUGAUAGGGACACAUACAUUGGAUGAUAAGAUGAUGAUAGGCGAUGCGACCAUUGCCCAAGAACUAAGAUUUUCUUCUAUCGCGUGGGUGACUUUUCAUGAAGAAAAAUGAUGUUUUGAUUGACAUAUGGUUAAACCGAUGCCAUAUUUCGGGCUACAAAUAUCAGUAUUGUUUUAUUAAAUAAUUAAAAAAAUUAAUUUUACGUGCAUGUUGAAGGUAAUAUUGCAGUCUUUUGAGCCUGUGUUGAAUUUCAUUCGUGUGCGUUCAUUUAUUAUCUAUCCUCUUUUUUCUCUGUGUGUCUGCUAGCUCUAGUCAUCUUAAAAGAAUAACAUGUUUAAUUAAUGCAUGUAAAUGCACCGCAAAAGUAGUUAAGAAAGACUUGAUCAAAGAUCAGACAUUUUCUCUCUACUCAAAAAGUAGUUAUUGGACUAAUUAAGAUUCUAAUCCCUUUAAGAAAUAUUGAAAAAGGGUUACUGUCACUACUUCAGUCCUUGUUGUUACAUAUAUAUAUAUAUAUAUAUAUAUAUAUAAAUUUAAAGAAGCAUCACAUAAAUCCUUCCUAAUUAUAUUUUGUUUCAUUCAAGUUGUUGACUUAAUUUGUCUGCUUGGAAAAAUUAGUAAAAAGGUAAAAAUAAAAAAAUGUAAAUUCUACUUAUUAGACUAAAUAUAUAGUAUAAAUUUGCAGCAACCAGCAAAAGUUUGGAAUAUGAAAAAUCCUAUUAAUUUUUAAAAAAUCUCCGAAAGUUUGAAAACUAAUAUUUUAAGGUCCUUUUACAAUAACCAUAAUUAACAUGAAUUUACUAAAUUAGGCAAACCCGAAUUACUACCAUAUAAUAAAAUUUUAUAACAGAAAUAAGAAAACAAAACAAAUAGCAUCAAAUCUUAUAUCUAAAAAAAAAUCUUGAAAUAAAUAGAAAAAAUAAGAAAAUAACUAAAACUUGCAAAAUGACCAUGAAAGAAAUGAAAUUUCCGACUGAACCAAAGGGCCAAUACACAUAGCAUUAUUGGACUAGAUCUAUCAUGGUGCAAACUUCAAAACAGUAUAUUAUAUUUUCUAAAUGGACACAUAUAGGUUAAGUUAUGAUAUUAAAAAAUAUCCUAUUCAUCUUACACAACCAUUCUAUGUCACUAUAUCUAUACACUAAUAAUAUAACCCAAACAUUUAUGGAGCAUAACUCACAGACCUCCACUAAUUACACUAAAGUUUACUCUCAUUUUAUAAGAGAGAGAAAUGUUCUCGUUCUCCAUUUAUGGGGGAUUAAACCAAAUGGUCUGUUUUUGAUUUUCUGGUAAGUUGUGUAACGUUGGAGCUUUUUGGCACUUCUUUGACGAAAAGUCGUUCUCUUCGACAACCCAAAAUUCGGGCCAAUGGGCAAUUAUGAAAGUCCAUUGGAUGCAUUGGACCAAACUAAAAGUCCAUAUAUAUAUGUAUAUAUAUAUAUAUAUUCAAUAAAUGAAAUGAAAAAAUGCAAUUGGCUUGCAGUUGCAAAGCUUCUUUGUUUAUUAUUAUAUAAUAUAAUAUAAUAUAAUUUUAUAUCAUUUUGAAUAUCAAAAUUUUAUUUCAAAAUUUAUUUAACACUAGUGUUUAAUAUAAGAUACAAUACUACCAAAAUUCUAUUCAAUAGUUUAUUUAAAAUAGUAUUGACUAUUAAAAAUAAGAAUUUACACUAAUAUUAAAUAUUAAAUUCAACAAUUAGUAACAUUAUUUAAAAUAAUUAUAGUAUUUAAAUGGUUAUUUAUCUUUAUUAAAUAAGAUUUAACAUAAUCCUCUGCGACAUUUUACUAAAUAAAUACAGUACUAUAUAUAAUCCAAUCUAAUCUUAAACAAUAAUCUAUUCUAUUCCUACCUUCCAAAUAUAAACACAAUAGAUAAUGAGAGCAUGAGCUAUGAGAUUAUAAAUCAUGGAUCAAGGGAGUAGAGAUACAGACCUUGAGAUCAUAGAUCGUAGACUAUUAGAGACUAAAGACCGUGGACAAAUCCGAGUACAUUAAAAAAAGGGGAAUUUUAGUCAAAUGUAGAUUGAUAUUAAGGAAUUCAGCAAGCAAGCUACAAGAAUAUCCAAAAGCGUGUAAUUUAUGUUUAAGGAAACAAGUGGAGAUAGAGAUGAAAUUGUAAAUUCAUCCCAAUCUUAAGUGGCUUAAUUCAAGAUGUAUGUUACCUACAAGCACAAUAAUAUGUACACGUUAUGUAUACAUGCAUCACAUACGUGCGUCGAUCAUCGAUGUAAAAGUAACAGUAAAUUUCUAGUAAAACAAACAUCAUUACUUUUAGUAUAAGAUGUAAAAAAUAUCAAUUAAUAACCAUUAGAAAAUAAAAAUUUAUGUAAUUGAUGCAGAUAAAUGGAAUCAAGUAGUAACAUUUCCUUCUCAUUGAAGAGAAAAGAUUAAAAAAAAGAAAAGGGGGGGGGGGGGGGGGGGGGAGGAGCGCAAACAUGACAAUUAUUUUUAUCCGCACGUGCCAUGAUAAUCGAUAAUCCGAUAUACCAACCGCGUCUAAUUGUCUGAAUUCUCAAGCUUAUCAAGCUUGCUCAAUCGCACCGCAGACACUGACCAUGGGAGAUUAAUCACCACUCGCAGUAUUAGGCGCGUGAAGGACACAUUCGCCAAUAAUUUAUAGCGGACAGUAGCAUUCCCGAUGCUGCGCGGAGAAAAAUAGUUGGGCUUGCGAAAGUUAAAUUGACUUGACUCGACAGAGUGAAGAAUGGUGGUGGUUGCUGUUAAGCAGUCGGUACUUCUGGCGACUGCUUGGCUUACACGCAGUUCCCGGGGGUGUCAUUUGACUGUGAAAGAGAAUUUUGGCUUUAUUGAUAUCUUGUUGGAUUUGGAAUUUUGGAUGGCUUCGUGUAGACCAUAAGACACGAUAUCGUUCAUAACACGUUAGCAUUCUUUCUCACGGGAGAAAAACUCGGGUGGGAGCAGAUGUACCAUCUCAACUGCCGUUUAUAAAUGGCUGUCAAAUAAUUAAUCAAAAUUUUAUUAUUUACGGUUAUAAUUGGAAUGAUAAAAAAUCAAUUCGAUGUUAUUCUUUGUGGCUCUGCUUAGAAUACUAAAAAAUCAAAUCGACUUAUUUAUUUUUAUAUUGAUCAUUACAAGUCUCUUGAAUUUUUUACCUACUUCAUUAACUUGUUAUUUUGAGUUGUACGUAACAUGGCUUUUUUUGUUUUUUACUUUACUUUGGUUUUCUUUAUAACCCAUAAAAAUUUUCUUGUUAAGACUGUGUGAACCAAUUGAAACUUCAGAUUCAUACUAGAACUAUGAUGAUUUGAUAAGAGCUUCAAAUUAAAUCCACAGAUUCUAUGAAAAGAAAAGAAAAGAAAAAGUCUUUUAUUGGUAAAAGAAGAAAGCUCUUCGGCACUGAUCCGAAGAAAAAUCAUUCUCCAUACAAUGAGCAAAACAAAGUCCAAUUCGCAUUACAUAGAAGUAAAACCGAAGCAUUGGACUAAAAGCAUACAUUAGUCUUAUUUUUCGUUACUGAUAACAUUUUUUUUCCCUUAUAUUAUCACCUUAAUUAAGAAAAAUAAUAAUUUGUUUAACUAAUUACAAAAAAGGAUGGCUAUAUACAAUAUUCUUGUGUUGGAUGGCCUUAAAAGUCAAUUCUUUUGAAACAGGAAAACUGGUAUCGUUUUUCAAAACACAAAAAUAUUAUGUUAAGAAAAUGAAUGGUCUUUAAGAGUUAUGACAAUGAUAUCAAUAAAAUUACAAAAUCUUAAGAGUUUAUAGAUGUAGUUAGUGAUAUUACAUUACAUUAAUUAAUACAAUGCAAAUUGUUUACUAAUAGAGCCUCAGGAGAGUGAUUCAUUAUUUAGUUGGCCAAUUAAACAACUGCAGCAGUCACUAGCAGCUUGCCAAGAGCUAGCAUAGAUCAAUUGUUCAUCUACCAACCAAUUUUGAAAUUGUUACAUCAUUACUUGAACAUAUUUCCAAUCCAAUCGUGGCUUUGUUUUGUUCAUCUUCAUAAGCUUUGUUUGAGAAACUUGCAGGCUUCUUUGGAGUCAUUAUAUCAGCUGUAUUUUCAUUUUCGAUCAACGAAGAAAUUUCUAGUAUAGAAGGUCUAUUGUUUGGGUUCUCCUGAACACAUAGCAAAGCUACUUGCAGACAUGUCAAUAAUUUCCAUGAGGAAUGCGUAUCAUCUAGUGAUGGAUCCAUUAACUCCGUGCCUUUCCCAUCCUUCCACAACUCGUAUGCCUGAAAACAUC